AUUAUUUUGGCAGAUUAGUGCGUUAAAUUUAGAAUUUAAAAAAGGAAUUAAAUUUUAUAUUUCAAAUAAUA
Molecule: transfer RNA, 71 nt
Filed under: Phylloecus linearis
Lineage: Eukaryota; Metazoa; Arthropoda; Insecta; Hymenoptera; Cephidae
Description: tRNA-Leu
Source: RNAcentral